GAUGAACGCUGGCGGCGCGCCUAACACAUGCAAGUCGAACGGAAACUUGAAUUUCGGUCUAAGUUUUAGUGGCGAACGGGUGAGUAACGCGUGAGAAACCUACCUCUCAGUGGGGGACAACAGUUGGAAACGACUGCUAAUACCGCAUAACAUUAUCGAAGGGCAUCCUUUGAUAAUCAAAGCUUUAUGUGCUGAGAGAUGGUCUCGCGUCUGAUUAGCUGGAUGGCGGGGUAACGGCCCACCAUGGCGACGAUCAGUAGCCGGUCUGAGAGGAUGAACGGCCGACAUUGGGUACGUGAGAUACGGCCCAG
Molecule: ribosomal RNA, 311 nt
Filed under: uncultured bacterium
Lineage: Bacteria
Description: bacterial SSU rRNA
Rfam family: Bacterial small subunit ribosomal RNA
Source: RNAcentral